AUGGGGACAUGGGCACACCUCGGGGACACCUUGGGGACAUUGGGGACACCUUGGGGACACCUUGGGGUCAUCACAGGAACAUCACAGGGACAGCUCGGGGAUGUGGGGACAUCAGGAACAUCACAGGAACAUCAGAGGAACACCAUGGGGACAUGGGCACACCUCGGGGACACCUUGGGGACAUCAGGGACACCUCGGGGACACCUUGGGGACAUCACAGGAACAUCACAGGGACACCAUGGGGACAUGGGCACACCUCGGGGACACCUUGGGGACAUGAGGGACACCUUGGGGACAUCGGGGACACCUUGGGGACAUCGGGGACACCUUGGGGACAUCACAGGAACAUCACAGGGACAGCUCGGGGAUGUGGGGACAUCAGGAACAUCAGAGGAACAUCAGAGGAACAUCACAAGAACAUCAGAGGAACAGCUCGGGGAUGUGGGGACAUCAGGAACAUCACAGGAACAUCACAGGAACACCAUGGGGACAUCGGAGACACCUCGGGGACAUCGGGGACACCUUGGGGACAUCGUGGAGACAUCACAGGAACAUCACAGGGACAGCUCGGGGAUGUGGGGACAUCAGGAACAUCACAGGAACAUCACAGGAACACCAUGGGGACAUGGGCACACCUCGGGGACACCUUGGGGACAUGAGGGACACCUUGGGGACAUCGGGGACACCUUGGGGACAUCGGGGACACCUUGGGGACAUCACAGGAACAUCACAGGGACAGCUCGGGGAUGUGGGGACAUCAGGAACAUCAGAGGAACAUCAGAGGAACAUCACAAGAACAUCAGAGGAACACGGGGACACCAUGGGGACAUCACAAGAACAUCAGAGGAACAUUGGGGACACCUUGGGGACAUCAGGGACACCUUGGGGACAUCGUGGAGACAUCACAAGGACAUCACAGGGCCACCUCGGGGACAUGGGGACAUCAGGAACAUCAGAGGAACAUCAGAGGAACAUCACAAGAACAUAACAAGAACAUGGGGACACCAUGGGGACAUCACAAGAACAUCAGAGGAACACUGGGGACACCUUGGGGAUAUCAGGGACACCUUGGGGACAUCUGGGACACCUUGGGGACAUCGCAAGAACAUCACAGGAACACCUCGGGGACAUGGGGACAUCAGGAACAUCACAAGAACAUCACAGGAACACCUUGGGGACACUGGGGACACCUUGGGGACAUCACAAGAACAUCACAGGGACACGGGGACACCUUGGGGACGCCCCACGGGGUGGGACAAGGAACACGGUGAUGGGUGCCAGGGCCACCAGGGCCACCUCGGUGCCACCUUGGUGCCACCAGGGCCACCUCGGUGCCACCAGGGCCACAAAGGGGAUGCGGAUUUGGGGUCAGAACCAAUA
Molecule: long non-coding RNA, 1380 nt
Filed under: Cyanistes caeruleus (blue tit)
Lineage: Eukaryota; Metazoa; Chordata; Aves; Passeriformes; Paridae
Description: lncRNA (ENSCCEG00000002148.1)
Source: RNAcentral